RNAcentral lists this ribosomal RNA (253 nucleotides) under uncultured bacterium. RNAcentral describes it as "partial 16S ribosomal RNA". It matches the Rfam family "Bacterial small subunit ribosomal RNA", at positions 524 to 776 of the family's 1533-position model. The record is from RNAcentral.
UACGUAGGGUGCGAGCGUUAAUCGGAAUUACUGGGCGUAAAGCGUGCGCAGGCGGCCUCUUAAGUCAGAUGUGAAAUCCCCGGGCUUAACCUGGGAACUGCGUUUGAAACUGGGAGGCUAGAGUGUGGAAGAGGGGGGUGGAAUUCCAGGUGUAGCAGUGAAAUGCGUAGAUAUCCGGAGGAACACCGGUGGCGAAGGCGGCUUCCUGGACCGACACUGACGCUGAGGCGCGAAAGCUAGGGGAGCAAACGGG